Molecule: ribosomal RNA, 907 nt
Filed under: bacterium enrichment culture clone B6_159
Lineage: Bacteria
Description: bacterial SSU rRNA
Rfam family: Bacterial small subunit ribosomal RNA
Source: RNAcentral
AGAGUUUGAUCAUGGCUCAGAUUGAACGCUGGCGGCAGGCUUAACACAUGCAAGUCGAACGAUGACUCUCUAGCUUGCUAGAGAUGAUUAGUGGCGGACGGGUGAGUAACAUUUAGGAAUCUGCCUAGUAGUGGGGGAUAGCUCGGGGAAACUCGAAUUAAUACCGCAUACGACCUAUGGGUGAAAGGGGGCGCAAGCUCUUGCUAUUAGAUGAGCCUAAAUCAGAUUAGCUAGUUGGUGGGGUGAAGGCCCACCAAGGCGACGAUCUGUAACUGGUCUGAGAGGAUGAUCAGUCACACCGGAACUGAGACACGGUCCGGACUCCUACGGGAGGCAGCAGUGGGGAAUAUUGGACAAUGGGGGCAACCCUGAUCCAGCCAUGCCGCGUGUGUGAAGAAGGCCUUUUGGUUGUAAAGCACUUUAAGCAGGGAGGAGAGGCUAAUGGUUAAUACCCAUUAGAUUAGACGUUACCUGCAGAAUAAGCACCGGCUAACUCUGUGCCAGCAGCCGCGGUAAUACAGAGGGUGCGAGCGUUAAUCGGAAUUACUGGGCGUAAAGCGAGUGUAGGUGGCUCAUUAAGUCACAUGUGAAAUCCCCGGGCUUAACCUGAGAACUGCAUGUGAUACUGGUGGUGCUAGAAUAUGUGAGAGGGAAGUAGAAUUCCAGGUGUAGCGGUGAAAUGCGUAGAGAUCUGGAGGAAUACCGAUGGCGAAGGCAGCUUCCUGGCAUAAUAUUGACACUGAGAUUCGAAAGCGUGGGUAGCAAACAGGAUUAGAUACCCUGGUAGUCCACGCCGUAAACGAUGUCUACUAGCCGUUGGGGUCCUUGAGACUUUAGUGGCGCAGGUUAACGCGAUAAGUAGACCGCCUGGGAGUACGGCGCAGGUUAAAACUCAAUGAAUUGACGG